GACCUGGCUCAGGAUGAACGCUAGCUACAGGCUUAACACAUGCAAGUCGAGGGGCAGCAUGGUCUUAGCUUGCUAAGGCCGAUGGCGACCGGCGCACGGGUGAGUAACACGUAUCCAACCUGCCGUCUACUCUUGGACAGCCUUCUGAAAGGAAGAUUAAUACAAGAUGGCAUCAUGAGUCCGCAUGUUCACAUGAUUAAAGGUAUUCCGGGUAGACGAUGGGGAUGCG
RNAcentral lists this ribosomal RNA (229 nucleotides) under uncultured bacterium. RNAcentral describes it as "partial 16S ribosomal RNA". It matches the Rfam family "Bacterial small subunit ribosomal RNA", at positions 16 to 235 of the family's 1533-position model. The record is from RNAcentral.